RNAcentral lists this ribosomal RNA (123 nucleotides) under Cordyceps fumosorosea ARSEF 2679. Lineage: Eukaryota; Fungi; Ascomycota; Sordariomycetes; Hypocreales; Cordycipitaceae. The record is from RNAcentral.
ACAUACGACCAUAGAUAACAGAGAAUUCGGGGUCCCGUCUGCUCCCCCAUAGACAAGCUGGUUAAUCGGCAGAUUAGUAGAGUUGGUUCGGUGACGACCAGCGAACACCGGCUGUUGUAUGUU